GAUGAACGCUGGCGGCGUGCCUAAUACAUGCAAGUCGAGCGAACAGACGAGGAGCUUGCCCCUCUGACGUUAGCGGCGGACGGGGGAGUAACACGUGGAUAACCUACCUAUAAGACUGGGAUAACUUCGGGAAACCGGAGCUAAUACCGGAUAAUAUAUUGAACCGCAUGGUUCAAUAGUGAAAGACGGUUUUGCUGUCACUUAUAGAUGGAUCCGCGCCGCAUUAGCUAGUUGGUAAGGUAACGGCUUACCAAGGCAACGAUGCGUAGCCGACCUGAGAGGGUGAUCGGCCACACUGGAACUGAGACACGGUCCAGACUCCUACGGGAGGCAGCAGUAGGGAAUCUUCCGCAAUGGGCGAAAGCCUGACGGAGCAACGCCGCGUGAGUGAUGAAGGUCUUCGGAUCGUAAAACUCUGUUAUUAGGGAAGAACAAAUGUGUAAGUAACUAUGCACGUCUUGACGGUACCUAAUCAGAAAGCCACGGCUAACUACGUG
RNAcentral lists this ribosomal RNA (497 nucleotides) under uncultured bacterium. Its description in RNAcentral is "partial 16S ribosomal RNA". It matches the Rfam family "Bacterial small subunit ribosomal RNA", at positions 28 to 507 of the family's 1533-position model. The record is from RNAcentral.